CUUUUUGUCUCAACACAACAUGCUGCGUGUUCUGGGUGCUGUAUGCUUGAAGAUGUCUAAUGCUGCUUGUGUGGUUGUUGGACCGUAUCUGCUUAGUAGUGUGUAAAUACCAGGAAGGCUCUCAAGCUCUUAGCAACCUCUCACAGUGGCAUUUCAUAAUGUUUACUGGUUACAAAGGCAGCCGAACAGAUGAUCCUGACAGCGGCCUCUCUGAUUCACUACCACCCCUUCAACUGUUCAUUACAGGCUGUAGAGGUGUGUGCCGAGAGACCC
Ictalurus punctatus (channel catfish) is the source of this 273-nucleotide long non-coding RNA. The record is from Ensembl. NCBI's taxonomy places the organism in Eukaryota, Metazoa, Chordata, Actinopteri, Siluriformes, Ictaluridae.